CACGCCCUAAACGAUGUCAACUAGGUGUUGGGGGAGGAGACUUCCUUAGUACCGCAGCUAACGCGUGAAGUUGACCGCCUGGGGAGUACGGUCGCAAGAUUAAAACUCAAAGGAAUUGAC
This 120-nucleotide ribosomal RNA is filed under the name uncultured bacterium. RNAcentral's name for it is "partial 16S ribosomal RNA". It matches the Rfam family "Bacterial small subunit ribosomal RNA", at positions 796 to 914 of the family's 1533-position model. The record is from RNAcentral.